This 290-nucleotide ribosomal RNA is filed under the name uncultured bacterium. Its description in RNAcentral is "partial 16S ribosomal RNA". It matches the Rfam family "Bacterial small subunit ribosomal RNA", at positions 524 to 810 of the family's 1533-position model. The record is from RNAcentral.
UACGUAGGGUGCGAGCGUUAAUCGGAAUUACUGGGCGUAAAGCGUGCGCAGGCGGUUUUGUAAGACAGAGGUGAAAUCCCCGGGCUCAACCUGGGAACUGCCUUUGUGACUGCAAGGCUGGAGUGCGGCAGAGGGGGAUGGAAUUCCGCGUGUAGCAGUGAAAUGCGUAGAUAUGCGGAGGAACACCGAUGGCGAAGGCAAUCCCCUGGGCCUGCACUGACGCUCAUGCACGAAAGCGUGGGGAGCAAACAGGAUUAGAUACCCUUGUAGUCCAGUUGGCCGAGUACAGU